Molecule: long non-coding RNA, 182 nt
Organism: Herpailurus yagouaroundi (jaguarundi)
Lineage: Eukaryota; Metazoa; Chordata; Mammalia; Carnivora; Felidae
Exons: 3
Source: RefSeq, a predicted model, not a curated record
UCAUGUGUCUAUUAGCCAUCUGGAUGUCUUCUUUGGAGAAGUGUCUAUUCAUGUUUUUUGCCCAUUUCUUCACUGGAUUAUUUGCUUUUUGUGUAUUGAGUUUCGUAAGUUCAUUAUAAAUUUUGGAUACUAACCCUUUAUCUGAUAUUUAUGAUACAUCAUUUGCAAAUAUCUUCUCACAU